Molecule: transfer RNA, 67 nt
Filed under: Streptomyces sp. NE5-10
Lineage: Bacteria; Bacillati; Actinomycetota; Actinomycetes; Kitasatosporales; Streptomycetaceae
Description: tRNA-Ala
Source: RNAcentral
CGCCGGGUGGCGGAGGCGCAGCAGUCGCUGGCGACGGCCGCCGCCCGUCCGGCGCCGGUCCCGGCGG